GAUGAAGAACGUAGCGAAAUGCGAUACGUAAUGUGAAUUGCAGAAUUCAGUGAAUCAUCGAAUCUUUGAACGCACAUUGCGCCCGCCAGCACUCUGGCGGGCAUGCCUGUUCGAGCGUCAUUUCAACCCUUAAGCCUAGCUUAGUGUUGGGAAUCUGCUGUAUUGCAGUUCCUCAAAUACAACGGCGGAUCUGUAACAUCCUCUGAGCGUAGUAAAUUUUUAUCUCGCUUUUGUUAGGUGUUGCAGCUCUCAGCCGCUAAACCCCCCAAUUUUUGUGGUUGACCUCGGAUCAGGUAGGAAUACCCGCUGAACUUAAGCAUAUCAAAUAGCGGAGGA
Molecule: unclassified non-coding RNA, 336 nt
Filed under: soil metagenome
Description: partial contains 5.8S ribosomal RNA, internal transcribed spacer 2, and large subunit ribosomal RNA
Rfam family: 5.8S ribosomal RNA (bases 1-120)
Source: RNAcentral